RNAcentral lists this ribosomal RNA (516 nucleotides) under uncultured bacterium. RNAcentral's name for it is "bacterial SSU rRNA". It matches the Rfam family "Bacterial small subunit ribosomal RNA", at positions 501 to 1011 of the family's 1533-position model. The record is from RNAcentral.
CUACGUGCCAGCAGCCGCGGUAAUACGGAAGGUCCAGGCGUUAUCCGGAUUUAUUGGGUUUAAAGGGAGUGUAGGCGGUCUGUUAAGCGUGUUGUGAAAUUUAGGUGCUCAACAUCUACCUUGCAGCGCGAACUGGCGGACUUGAGUGCACGCAACGUAUGCGGAAUUCAUAGUGUAGCGGUGAAAUGCUUAGAUAUCAUGACGAACUCCGAUUGCGAAGGCAGCGUACGGGAGUGUUACUGACGCUUAAGCUCGAAGGUGCGGGUAUCGAACAGGGAUUAGCAUACCCUGGUAGUCCGCACGGUAAAUCGAUGGAUGCCCGUUGUUAGUUCACUUAAGAAUUAGCGACCAAGCGAAAGCAUUAAGCAUCCCACCUGGGGAGUACGCCGGCAACGGUGAAACUCAAAGGAAUUGACGGGGGCCCGCACAAGCGGAGGAACAUGUGGUUUAAUUCGAUGAUACGCGAGGAACCUUACCCGGGCUUGAAUUGCAGACGAACGAUUCAGAGAKAUGAGG